Molecule: long non-coding RNA, 3865 nt
Organism: Triticum aestivum (bread wheat)
Lineage: Eukaryota; Viridiplantae; Streptophyta; Magnoliopsida; Poales; Poaceae
Exons: 2
Source: RefSeq, a predicted model, not a curated record
UCUCUAUCUCUCUCACUCUCUGUUUUAGAUAGUUUUUUGAUUGCUGGUUUGGAUAGUUGUAACUGUAUAUCUUGCAAAAUUCUGAAAUGUUGAUUUUGUCUUAUAUAGCAUCCAAAGCAAGUGGCAGGUGGUGUACUAUUCAGUACACCUAGACGUUGUUCAGUAUCUUCUCCAGUAGUUGGGAUUGUCAGUUUAAAUAUCUUGGUUAUAAAAGGUGUAUGGAAGGUUAAAAGGAAUAAAAUAAAUAGCUUUAAAAGGAAAUAUAAGAACCAAUUGAUAUGAAGAUGCGUGAAGGGGUUGUUUGGUUUGUGCCCCAACUUGCCCUGCCAAAAUUUUGAUGUGGUAGUGUUGUUUGGAUUAACGUAGCACCUACCAGUUUUUUUGGCAAAAUGGUUGGUUCUAGGUUUGGUUUGUAACCAGUUAACAUGCCACAUAUCAGCAUAGGUCCUUUUUCUUUUUUUUAGUGAAUGAGCAUCUGGGGUCUUAACAUGAAUUAAGAAACCGUAUAACAAAGUGACCUACGAGCCUCCACAAUGCUUCAUCGUUGCUGGCCGUCAGAUUGCAUAGAUCGCAAGCCGUUUCGUGGGCCGCUGCUCCGCAGAACCAUCUAUAUUUGUGGUGGUUGAUCGGGCUAGUACACUGGGCCUGUUUACAUGGUCCAGUCCACACCUCCGCUGGUCCCUAUGUCUUUGUCUUUCCUCUAUCCUUCGACCACAGCCGCCGUUUUCCUCUCCUAUGCCAGGAGCACUCAGCCGCCAUGAAAAACAAAGUUGUGAAAUAAAAUUCCAGAGCGAAGACAGAACCUGGAUCUGUGGCGGACCGAUGAGAUGGGGGAUGCUGCACGACAUUGUGUUUGUGGGUGCUCUGUGGACCUAUUCCACUCCAUGGCGUCGCAGCAAGUGUGGGAUUAUAAUGUACUUUCUCUUAGAAAGGAGAUACAUGUUCAAAAAAAGAUGGUAAAAGUAAAUAAUAAACUACCUUUCUUCUGCAGGUUCUUAAAGAGCCCUUAUGAGAACAUCUAUUUGAGCGAUUCCACAACUCUAAGUAGUGAUUCGGAAUCAAGAUUAGUGUGUGGUCUGAUGGCUCGUUGUGACUGUCUUUGUAUGGGAUAUCGUCUUGAACUUUGACUCAAUAACACGAGAAUGCAGAAACUGAUUCGUAUGUCGCAGGCAUCAUAUAAUCACGGUGAAAAAGCAAAAAAAUAAAUUAGGUAAUUGUAUUCUUACAUCUUUCUGAUACUUUUAGCAAGCAUGUUUGUGUAAGCAUGGACAUAUUUAAGUUUUGUGGUGCUUACCAGAGAUCCACAAUGCCAUUCACGUAGCUAGAUCCAGCAGUCUUAUGUGGAACUUGCAGUACCUCCAUCUCCUUUGCUUGGUUAUAUAUCUAAUUAAAUCGCUCUCUUCUUCGUAAACUCAUAGGUCUUAAUUAUUUCCAUCGGUGGCUGCAAACUGCGGGUAUUUUGAUGUGAUGCCCAUGAAAAAUGGAAAACACUUACACUAGAGUAUAAUUUCUGUUUGCAAACUGUUCGACUUUGAUUAGGUUUAGGUUAUCACUUAUGUGCUUUACUGGCCUAUGUGCAAACACACAAGUGUGCAAAUAUAAGAGCGGAAGCUCUAGGUGAUAAUGUUCUUUUUUUGUCCUUUUGCUGGUUGUAACUCAAGGUUGAGAUAUUGAUCUCUCCUCUCCUAUAAACAUAUUUUUUUAUUGUUCAUGGCUUAUAUUGCAUGCAACCUAUGUGAACAUACAUUCAUUUCUGACUCUUUCCACCCCUUGUUCAUAUCGAGAAAAUAUGGUAUCUUCUUUUGUUAAAAGAGAAAAUACGAACCAUGGAUGCGUAAGUAUACGAGCUAGCUACUUAAUUUUCCGGUUAACAUGACACCCAAGCAUAUUACAGUGAAGCUAGCAGGUGGGCAGCCAAUAUUUUGGCGGAUGAAUUGGUUGCCCUCGGCUUGCCCGUGUAUUGGUGAGAAAUGCAUGGGCAAACGCCGGCUGGGUUGGGCAAGCCAAAUAUUUGGUGUCCAACCAAAUAGCAGCCAAAACUCAUGGGCACGCCAAAUAUGCUUUGGCUCAAAACCAAACACACCCGAACACAUGAAUGAGCCAUUAAACCAUGUAAAUUGUGGUCAGAAUGUAGCCACUAAACAUAAUGAAUAGGAAAUAUUUCAUGUAGUCUAUCUGUUAAAUUUGUUCACAGCUAUGCAAGUACAUGAAUGACAAAAAUAGUAGCUUCACUGAUCCAUCUUGUGUGUGUGUGUGUGUUAUAAAUCAAUUAUCCAGGUGGUUGAAGACUUGGCAACAAACACUUAUCUAUUUGCUAUUAUUAUGUUUACCAUGAUUGUCUUGUUGAUUAUAAAUUCUUCUUUUCUAUCUUUAUCUUAUUUGUCUAAAGAAUCACACAUUACAGGAUGACAAUUGGAAGAAAAGCAUAUCGACUUUCUCUAGCCAUCAAACCUGUGCCUGCUACUCGGAACACUAUGAUGGAUACGUAAGAGUUUCAGAUCUACCCGCUGCUAUUCCAAAUAAUGAAGACCGACCUGCUGGGAAGACGUAUAUCUUAUUAAUUUGUAUAAGUAGUUUCUUGUUCUGCAAUAUUUUUCCUUUUUCUAAUACUUGUUUGUUGCAUUUACAAUUUGCUAGAUUUGAAAGUAACCACCAUGUGAAUUUUCUUGUAUUGCAGACUUUGGCAACUAACCAAAGAGUGCCUAUUGCAGAAAUACCACCGCCGCCGGUUCCACCUUCUCAUUCACUUUCUCCUCGUGGAUCUCCACAACGAUCUAUUAUCCAAAUUCUAGAAAAUAGCGAAGAACCACCAGCUUUGUGUGCUCAACAAGAAAUAAAUCCUAGCUCUCUUCACGUAUCUAUUUCUCAAACUAAUCUCAAAUGAUACAACUAGUGAUGGUCUGUUCGUUUUGAUGUUCACAUACUUGUGACAAUAUGCAUGCUUCUUUGAUGUAUGAUGCUAACCUGUGUGGUGCUGGAUCAUUUGAUUAAUGGGGUUGUGUGAGAUGUGGGAGGGAUCAUAAUAUCUUUUCGUAUGUCCAGUUGUCCAAUUUACAGUUGUUAUGCUGCGCAAAUUUAUACCAAUUUUUGCAUUUCUGGGUUCUCAUUAUUGGAAAUAGGAAAUUCUGUUUAGAACUUUGGUGAUUUGAUGUAACACACUAAUUUGCAUUGCAACAGAGUUGAGUGUAGUUCAUACUUUAUUUCGAAACAAAGAUAAUCACUUCUUUUGUGAUUAUGUGUAGAGUAAAAGUAAUAGCUCACAACUUAAGUUAGAUUCUGGGUUACUAGAGGUGUGAGAAGUACUUAACUUUAGCCUUUUUAUUUCCUGGAAUAGUUUCAAAAAGUUCUUUAUGAACAUACCCUAGAAUAGUUUCAGGCGAUUCAAACUAAUGCAUCACAAAUUAGUGACUCUAUGGCACCUUGAUCCUUUCCUUAUGCUUUCUAUUUUUUCCUUCUUAUUGUCAUGUUCUAGCCUUUGAAAAUUUGCAAAUCUUACUUUCCAGGAAGGCAGGAACAUUGUGUUGCCUCAAGUCUUCGUGUUGCAGACGAUGAAGGGAUGUUUGGGGGAUUAUUUUUCAGCCAGUCACUAUUGAGCAACCAGUUGGGUUCUUGAUGUUAACAUGGUGGUACAUGUUUUGGUGUAACAUUUUGGUGCAUGUAUAGUUAACAUGUUUUGUGAUGUAGAAAACUCUAGUUGACCUACAUCAAUAUAUACGUGCUAAUUAAGAUGUUUACUCAGUUAGAUGUAGCAAACUCUGGCCAGCGUGCCUAUUUUUUGUCAAACAUUUGAUGGCUGGUGAUGUCUUGGCAUCUAUUGUAUGCAUGUGACGAUUGAUAUCUAUCUAUAUAUUUGAUGUUAUUUUCA